This is a non-coding RNA of Cajanus cajan (pigeon pea), 228 nucleotides long. NCBI's taxonomy places the organism in Eukaryota, Viridiplantae, Streptophyta, Magnoliopsida, Fabales, Fabaceae. The record is from RefSeq and is a predicted model, not a curated record.
CAUGUAUUGCCUUACUCAACAAGUUCAGUAUCAAAGAGGUUUGUGACUUGGAAGAGAAAGUGGUUGAGUUGGGGAUGGAUCAGGGCAUCAAUAUUCUCAAGGCUUCUCUACAAUCCAAGAUGGUGCUCACAAGUGCUUUUCUGAAGAACAUAUUACUUUAGUAUGAGAUGGCUCAGUAUAGUAUGAGUAUGAAUCCCACUGGUCUGUGUAGAGCAUAUGGUGCAAUGG